CCUACGGGCGGCAGCAGUGGGGAAUAUUGGGCAAUGGACGCAAGUCUGACCCAGCCACGCCGCGUGAAGGAAGAAGGCGCUCGGGUUGUAAACUUCUUUUAGUGGGGAAGAGCAGAAGACGGUACCACUUGAAUAAGCCACGGCUAACUACGUGCCAGCAGCCGCGGUAAUACGUAGGGGGCAAGCGUUGUCCGGAGUUACUGGGUGUAACGGGCGUUCAGCCGGGGCGACAAGUACGAUGGGAAAUCCACGGGCUCAACCCGUGAACUGCAUUUGAAACUGUUUCCCUUGAGUGUUGGAGAGGUAAGCGGAAUUCCUUGUGUAGCGGUGAAAUGCGUAGAUAUAAGGAAGAACACCAGUGGCGAAGGCGGAUUACUGGACGAUAACUGACGGUGAGGCGCGAAAGCGUGGGGAGCAAACAGGAUUAGAUACCCGGGUAGUC
This 442-nucleotide ribosomal RNA is filed under the name uncultured bacterium. RNAcentral describes it as "partial 16S ribosomal RNA". It matches the Rfam family "Bacterial small subunit ribosomal RNA", at positions 338 to 795 of the family's 1533-position model. The record is from RNAcentral.